ACAACAUUCGGACCGUCGGUCUACCGAGCAAUAUCACCCGCUCGGUGGAAGAUCUUCUCUUGGUCGU
Molecule: microRNA precursor, 67 nt
Filed under: Bombyx mori (domestic silkworm)
Lineage: Eukaryota; Metazoa; Arthropoda; Insecta; Lepidoptera; Bombycidae
Description: mir-2774 microRNA precursor family
Rfam family: mir-2774 microRNA precursor family
Source: Rfam by way of RNAcentral